UACGGAGGGUCCGAGCGUUAAUCGGAAUUACUGGGCGUAAAGCGCGCGUAGGUGGUUCAGUCAGUCAGAUGUGAAAGCCCCGGGCUUAACCUGGGAAUUGCACCUGAAACUGCUGAGCUAGAGUACGGUAGAGGGCAGUGGAAUUUCCGGUGUAGCGGUGAAAUGCGUAGAGAUCGGAAGGAACACCAGUGGCGAAGGCGACUGCCUGGACCGAUACUGACACUGAGGUGCGAAAGCGUGGGUAGCAAACAGG
RNAcentral lists this ribosomal RNA (253 nucleotides) under uncultured bacterium. Its description in RNAcentral is "partial 16S ribosomal RNA". It matches the Rfam family "Bacterial small subunit ribosomal RNA", at positions 524 to 776 of the family's 1533-position model. The record is from RNAcentral.